This 266-nucleotide ribosomal RNA is filed under the name uncultured bacterium. RNAcentral describes it as "partial 16S ribosomal RNA". It matches the Rfam family "Bacterial small subunit ribosomal RNA", at positions 793 to 1055 of the family's 1533-position model. The record is from RNAcentral.
GUCCACGCCGUAAACGAUGGAUGCUAGCUGUGGCGGGAGUUGACCCCUGCCGUGGCGACGCCAACGCAAUAAGCAUCCCGCCUGGGAAGUACGGCCGCAAGGCUAAAACUCAAAGGAAUUGACGGGGGCCCGCACAAGCGGUGGAGCAUGUGGUUUAAUUCGACGCAACGCGCAGAACCUUACCCAGACUUGACAUCUAAGGAACCCCGCAGAAAUGUGGGGGUGCCCGCAAGGGAGCCUUAAGACAGGUGCUGCAUGGCUGUCGU